RNAcentral lists this ribosomal RNA (253 nucleotides) under uncultured bacterium. RNAcentral describes it as "partial 16S ribosomal RNA". It matches the Rfam family "Bacterial small subunit ribosomal RNA", at positions 524 to 776 of the family's 1533-position model. The record is from RNAcentral.
UACGAAGGGUGCAAACGUUGCUCGGAAUUAUUGGGCGUAAAGCGCACGUAGGCGGCAUUGCAAGUCGGAUGUGAAAUCCCUCGGCUUAACCAAGGAAGUGCAUCCGAAACUGCAGUGCUUGAGUACUUAAGAGGAUCGCGGAAUUCCCGGUGUAGAGGUGAAAUUCGUAGAUAUCGGGAGGAACACCGGUGGCGAAGGCGGGUCUCUGGGCCGUAACUGACGCUGAGGAGCGAAAGCGUGGGGAGCGAACAGG